This 292-nucleotide ribosomal RNA is filed under the name uncultured bacterium. RNAcentral describes it as "partial 16S ribosomal RNA". It matches the Rfam family "Bacterial small subunit ribosomal RNA", at positions 505 to 796 of the family's 1533-position model. The record is from RNAcentral.
GUGUCAGCAGCCGCGGUAAGACGAACCGUGCGAACGUUGUUCGGAAUCACUGGGCUUAAAGGGCGCGUAGGCGGGCUGUCAAGUCCGGGGUGAAAUCCUCCCGCUCAACGGGAGAACGGCCUCGGAUACUGACGAUCUCGAGGGGGAUAGGGGCACGCGGAACUGUGGGUGGAGCGGUGAAAUGCGUUGAUAUCCAUAGGAACUCCGGUGGCGAAGGCGGCGUGCUGGAUCCCUUCUGACGCUGAGGCGCGAAAGCCAGGGGAGCAAACGGGAUUAGAUACCCCCGUAGUCC